This 637-nucleotide long non-coding RNA is filed under the name Lathyrus oleraceus (garden pea). Its description in RNAcentral is "Pisum sativum (pea) long non-coding RNA (PSAT_LNC008983)". Lineage: Eukaryota; Viridiplantae; Streptophyta; Magnoliopsida; Fabales; Fabaceae. The record is from RNAcentral.
ACGCAAAGUGAAGAGUCAUUUACUAAAUAGAAAAAUCUAAAAUAUUUUCUUUUACAACUUCACAAGUGUUAGAUGUAAAAAAAAAAAAAACUCUAUUAUUAUUAAUAUAUAAGUGAUGUAAGUAGAGCAUUAAACUUAUAAACAUAAAGUGAUAAAACAUUAUCCUAUUUGAUACAUCCCUAAUAUGGAAAAUAUGGUUAAAAUUCUGAAAUUUGCUCCUCUUAUGAUUAUUAUUCUCUCUUUAUUUCUGGUUUCAGUGAACACAAAACGUAAGCCAUUUUUUCUUUUUAACUUUCCUUCUUUAUUUCAUUUAUAAUAUUUUAUUCUAUUUUAGUAUUUUUUAUUUUAAUAUAGCGGAGGGUGAUGAUUGUUCUGCUAGUACUGACUGCGAUUGCGAGCAUCCAUUGAUACCUGUGUGUAUUUUUAAUAUGUGCAAGUGUAUAGCAUUAUAAUUUGUUUUUCAUUUAGUUUAUUUUUCAAAUUUCAUGGACUUCGUAGUUACGGUUUGUAUCUAAAAUGAAUGGUAAAUGAAAUAAAAUAAGGUAUCAAUAGAAUAUUAUAUAAACUAUCUUCUUCUCUUAUUUUUGAAAAUAGUAUUGCGAUCUUACAUUUAGGCAUCAAUUUGCCUUUAUAGUUU